GAGAGAGAGAGAGAGAGAGUGAAACCAAAUCAAUUCUUACAAAAUCUAAAAGCAACGGAUUAAGGAACUGUUGUCGAUCUGUUGAUUUGGGCAACAGCGUCUUCCAUUCUUAAAAUGGUAAUCAAAUUGGACGGCCAAUAACUUUGUAGUCGUUGAUCAUCUGACGGCCCAGCUUCUGUCAACAUGGUUCAAUCUCAGAUCCAUGAUGUGGCAUGUGCUAAACUAUUCAAAUCAUCCCUCAAAAUUGUUCUAUCCCUACCCUUUUUUUGCUAUGAGAAUCUCGGACUCCUGAACUGCCAGCACCAGUGCCUACUCCUGACAAGAUUGGUGAUGAUGCAUCUCAUUGCAUCAAUAACAAUGGCCUUGAAAAUUGUUUAUCUGCUGGUUUACAAUAAUCUAACAAUGGCGGUGAUUAGGGAUUUCGACAAUGGGGAUGGGAGAUUAUUUUCAAUAUAAAUUUAAUUUAAAGUUAAUUGUUGAAUAAAGCAAAA
RNAcentral lists this unclassified non-coding RNA (491 nucleotides) under Hevea brasiliensis (rubber tree). The record is from RNAcentral. Lineage: Eukaryota; Viridiplantae; Streptophyta; Magnoliopsida; Malpighiales; Euphorbiaceae.